UUAAAGUUUGAUUCUUGCUUAGAAGUUAAUUUUGCUCGAAUUAUACAUGUAAAUUUUUGUGGGACGUAAAUUUAUUCUUAAGGAUUAAAAGAUUUUAAUAAGGCGCAGUUUUUAAUUUUAAAAAUUAAGUAGUUUUAGAUUUAGGUAGAUGCAUUAAAUUCGACUAAAUCUUGUGCCAGCAGUCGCGGUUAUACAUUUGAAUUAAAUUAAUUAAUAUUGAAUGUAGAAUAUAAUUUAAAACUCAUAUAAAAACUCAUUAAUUAUAAAAGUUAGGUGAAAUUUAAGAAUAAUUAGUAUGGUUUAAGUUAAUUUUUAUUUUAAAGCCAGUUAUUUAAACUAGGAUUAGAUACCCUAUUAUUUUGGCUAUAAAUAUUUAUUCAUAAUAUUAAUAGAUAUGUUCUUUAAACUAAAAGAAUUUGGCGGUAAUUUAAUCUUUUCAGAGGAACCUGUUCUGUAAUUGAUAAACCACGUUUAAUUUUUCUUUUAUUAUGCUUGUAUACCUCUAUUAUUGAAUGUUUUAUUAGAAUAUUUUCGAGUAUUUUUUGUGAAAGAAAUGUUAGGUCAAGGUGCAGCAAUAUAAAAGUAGAAAUGGGUUACAAUUUUAUUAAAAUUGGAUUGUUUAAGUUGAAAAAAUCAAACAUGAAAUUGGAUUUGAAUGUAAAAUAUAUUAUUUUAUAUUUUUGAUUUAUGCUCUAAUUUAUGCACAUAUCGCCCGUCGCUCUCAUUAUCUGAGAUAAGUCGUAACAAAGUAGGCCUACCGGAAGGUAGGCCUAGAAAGAU
RNAcentral lists this non-coding RNA (780 nucleotides) under Coleoptera sp. 1 KM-2017. The record is from RNAcentral. Lineage: Eukaryota; Metazoa; Arthropoda; Insecta; Coleoptera.